RNAcentral lists this long non-coding RNA (2609 nucleotides) under Capsicum annuum. RNAcentral's name for it is "long non-coding RNA (CANN_LNC009348)". The record is from RNAcentral. Lineage: Eukaryota; Viridiplantae; Streptophyta; Magnoliopsida; Solanales; Solanaceae.
AAAGUGGAUAUACAUUCGAAAGAGCUCAACAAUUUUUAUGUCAACUAUGUAACCACAACAGUCAGUACUUCGUACAGCCUACAGCAACCUCGUUUCCUUUGAAGAUGUCUUCUCCCCAUUAGUAAGCUACAAAACACACUAAAUACGGUCAAUUAGUGGCGCAAAAAAAGAUGUCUUCUAUUUCCUGAUGUGAAACUCAUUUUAUACCUUAAAAUGACGAACCUCAUGAACCCUUCUUAUUAGAUCAUAGGCAAAGAAGCUUCCAAUACUUCCACUAGUUGAACUUCUUGGAGUCAUGACAAAUGCUGAAAUGGAUGCUCCCAAAAAAUUGUAGAUACCUUAAACUUAUAACAUCACACGUCAAAGCAAAGAAAAGGAGGACAACCAUAUUGUUCAAGCAAAAUUCCUCUAUUUGAAUCCUCUGAAAUGAUUUUCAUUGACAAUUUUAUGUAGUUUUGCAUUUUAGCUACUAAUAAUAUAUGCCCAAAUAAGGUACGUAACAUGUAAAUUUGAAAGAUACACUAAUAUUUUUUCAUCUACUAUCUAUUCUAUAUUAUCACCACAUUCACCCGUCCUAAAACUAAAAGGAAAAAUAACUCUAAUUUUUUUUACAUAAGUUGUGCAGUGAUAAACACCUUACUCCUAGAAGCCCAAUCCUUUUUAAGAAAUUAAUAAAGUAUAUCAGGUAGAAGUGACCUAAUAGUAAUUAUUAUUGAUUAAUCAAAGAUAUAUUUUACAUCAAUUCGGAGCAUGAAUGUCGAGUCAUUCUCUAAAGAGGUAACUCACUUUCCUUGCUUUUUUUUGGAUGGUUAUUUUCUCCUUUGGCUCUCAAGCAUCAAAGGGGGAAUUUCCUUUGAUCAUUAGGUAUAAUCUCAGAUGUGAUGGAAAUUAGAGGCAAUUUUGAUUCUAGAUUUCCUAUUAUUUAUAAGUACAAACAACUCAACAAUAACAUGACCGACUUAUAUGAGAAUCAUGAUCAUAGAUUGUAAACUCGAUCACUAACUUUUAGACAAACAUUCUGCACUGAAGUUACAUUUAGCUCCUUCUUCGUCUUCACUUUCUAAGUUGAUCACACGGAAUAAAAUCAAAGCAUCAAGAUGAUAAAUAUAAUGCUAAAAGUUUAAAAUGAACCAUUUCUAAAAUUCAAUAUAAAAGAUCAAAUUAACUUUUAAUACAUUGAAAUAACUAGGUACACCUAAAAUAAGAUAUUAAGAAUGGAUUACAAAAUACAAAACACAAUAUAUAAUCAAACAUGAAUUCUUUAUAGAUUAGGCAAGUUGAACAAAGAGAUUAAGUCGGUGAAUAAUUAUACUAAACCUUCUUACUAACCUAUGCAUGUCUUCUGUCAAUAAUUUAUUAAUAUCUAAAUAUAGAACGCAAAAUAUAUGCCACUAUCAUCCUCACCAUACAUGUCGAUAUAUUCUUGUAAGAGCCACUAAAAAGUCAUAAAAUUAGUAUAAGCACAAGCCACAACAAUAAGAUAUACAUAAUGAGUAAAUCAAUAACUUUUAAAAAUUCGAUAUCAAAUUAAAUAUGUGACUUCAUGAUCUAUGCAUUGAUCAUCGACUUUUUUUACAACAUAAACUUAAACAGUAAGUUAGGUGAGGUCAAAAUAACCUUAAUUGAAAAUUUAAACAUAUUAAGCACAUGUAAGAAAAUAUAGAUAAAGAUAGCAUACGUUAAUUCAGUACUUAGCCAGUUGAAACUCUGUGACAGAUUAUCGAUAAAUAAUAACACCAAAUAAGCUAAGAAUAAAAUCGAGAGAUUGAAUAGAAAAAUAUAAUAUAUGAAUUUCUAAAAUCUCUAAUAAGUGAAUAUACCAAAAAGGAAAAGUACAAUUUCGGCACAACAAGAGAAGGAGAAGUAAACAAAGAUUCCACUGUUAAAAAGAAAGGAAAAACGACAGAAAUAGCUAAAGAUAGCAAUUUAGUAGUAGAAUUGCUAAGAGUUCUUUUCCCAAAAAGAAAAGAGAACCCUGAAAAAUUCUAUGUAAAAUAAAAAUAGAGAACUUUGUUAGAUUAUGCGCUAGCUCAUUAAAUUUUUUGGAAAACUUUUCACCUGGAAAGUUGCUAAUAAGUACUAUUGAUUUUAAUUUUUAAGUGAUACAUUGUCUCUUCAAAAGAAAAAGAAGCAUACGUAUCAACGCAUAGCACGCUACAUUUUUAAAUUGCUAUAACAACCAUGAAUGCUAAUUAAGAUUCAAAAACAUUGACAUAAGAGAUUAGCAUAUGCUAAAUCAAGAUUAAUGCCCACAUGAAGAAAUGAAAUAGCAACCAAACUAAUAAUUUCAUGUAUAAAUUAGCUGAUAGCAGCCGAAAUAGUAAGAACAGAUAUACAAAAAGUUGUAAGUGACUUGACCACAAUAAACAAAUAAGAUUUAGCGACAAUGUUUGUUUUACAAAUUCAUAUCAAACGAUUUUCAUUGUUUAUCAAAAUCAAAACAUAAAAGGAAAAAACAAAAAUAAUUGACUAAUAUUGAAAAGCAGUUAACCUUAAAAUUUAUAAGACCAAAGUGAGAAAGAGCAUGAAAAAUUGAAACAAGUAUUGGAGAAGAAGAUCUAAGAGCUUGUAAAUCCAUACAUGAGGUGGCAGAGAUAAAUUCAUGUAAG